GACGAACGCUGGCGGCGUGCCUAAUACAUGCGAGUCGAACGCAUUUUCCUUCACUGUAUCUCGCUACACAGAGAGAAAAUGAGUGGCGAACGGGUGAGUAACACGUCGGUAACCUGCCCAUCAGCGGGGAAUAUCACUUGAAAACAGGUUAUAAUACCGCAUAAUUCCAUUUACCGCAUGGUAGAUGGAUGAUAGGCGCUGUUGCGUCACUGAUGGAUGGACUCGCGGUGCAUUAGCUAGUUGGUGGGGUAACGGCCUACCAAGGCUGCGAUGCAUAGCCGCACUGCUGGGGGGGUCGGCCACCCUGAGAGUGAGACACGGCACAGGCGCCUACGUGAGGCACAAGGAGUGAAUCUUCGGAAAGGGGCGCAAGACUGAACAAGCAGCGCCGCGUGCGUGAAGAGGGGUUUCGGGUCGUAAAACUCUGUUGUUGGGGAAGAACCAGGAUGCGAGUGGAAAGUUGAUCCCGUGACGGUAUCUAGCCAAAAAGCAACGGCUAACUACGUG
This 507-nucleotide ribosomal RNA is filed under the name uncultured bacterium. RNAcentral's name for it is "partial 16S ribosomal RNA". It matches the Rfam family "Bacterial small subunit ribosomal RNA", at positions 28 to 507 of the family's 1533-position model. The record is from RNAcentral.